Molecule: ribosomal RNA, 585 nt
Filed under: uncultured bacterium
Lineage: Bacteria
Description: partial 16S ribosomal RNA
Rfam family: Bacterial small subunit ribosomal RNA
Source: RNAcentral
UGGGGAAUUUUGGACAAUGGGCGAAAGCCUGAUCCAGCAAUGCCGCGUGUGUGAAGAAGGCCUUCGGGUUGUAAAGCACUUUUGUCCGGAAAGAAAUCCUUGGCUCUAAUACAGUCGGGGGAUGACGGUACCGGAAGAAUAAGCACCGGCUAACUACGUGCCAGCAGCCGCGGUAAUACGUAGGGUGCAAGCGUUAAUCGGAAUUACUGGGCGUAAAGCGUGCGCAGGCGGUUUGCUAAGACCGAUGUGAAAUCCCCGGGCUCAACCUGGGAACUGCAUUGGUGACUGGCAGGCUAGAGUAUGGCAGAGGGGGGUAGAAUUCCACGUGUAGCAGUGAAAUGCGUAGAGAUGUGGAGGAAUACCGAUGGCGAAGGCAGCCCCCUGGGCCAAUACUGACGCUCAUGCACGAAAGCGUGGGGAGCAAACAGGAUUAGAUACCCUGGUAGUCCACGCCCUAAACGAUGUCAACUAGUUGUUGGGGAUUCAUCUCCUUAGUAACGUAGCUAACGCGUGAAGUUGACCGCCUGGGGAGUACGGUCGCAAGAUUAAAACUCAAAUGAAUUGACGGGGUCAUAGCUGUUUCCU